AUUGAACGCUGGCGGCAGGCCUAACACAUGCGAGUCGAGCGGAUGAAGGGAGCUUGCUCCUGGAUUCAGCGGCGGGCGGGUGAGUAAUGCCUAGGAAUCUGCCUGGUAGUGGGGGAUAACGUCCGGAAACGGGCGCUAAUACCGCAUACGUCCUGAGGGAGAAAGUGGGGGAUCUUCGGACCUCACGCUAUCAGAUGAGCCUAGGUCGGAUUAGCUAGUUGGUGGGGUAAAGGCCUACCAAGGCGACGAUCCGUAACUGGUCUGAGAGGAUGAUCAGUCACACUGGAACUGAGACACGGUCCAGACUCCUACGGGAGGCAGCAGUGGGGAAUAUUGGACAAUGGGCGAAAGCCUGAUCCAGCCAUGCCGCGUGUGUGAAGAAGGUCUUCGGAUUGUAAAGCACUUUAAGUUGGGAGGAAGGGCAGUAAGUUAAUACCUUGCUGUUUUGACGUUACCAACAGAAUAAGCACCGGCUAACUUCGUG
Molecule: ribosomal RNA, 484 nt
Filed under: uncultured bacterium
Lineage: Bacteria
Description: partial 16S ribosomal RNA
Rfam family: Bacterial small subunit ribosomal RNA
Source: RNAcentral